Molecule: long non-coding RNA, 742 nt
Organism: Lycium barbarum (goji berry)
Lineage: Eukaryota; Viridiplantae; Streptophyta; Magnoliopsida; Solanales; Solanaceae
Exons: 5
Source: RefSeq, a predicted model, not a curated record
CUCCUUACUCUCUGCAAUUUGCUCCCUUGACCGCCAUCUCUCUGUUUAGUGAGUUUUUCAACAUUCUUCUGCGCUUCUAUUACUUCUUCGGUCUUCCAAUGUGAUCUGGUCUGAACUAUGAAAAAAAAUCAUAAACAAAGAUGUAUAUGCCAAGCGGCAGAGUUCAACGGAAGAUAGCUUAUGCUUGGCCUGGAUUAAACUAUUUGUGAAAGGAGAGAAGGGAAACAUAAGAUGCUUUGAAGUUUUUGUUGUGUCGUGGUAGUCCAUUCAUGUGCCUGUUCUGUUCAACAUUUCGGAGUCUGAUUUCAGGUUUAUCUUUCUUUCGGUUGGGGAUGUGAAGUUGGCAGAAUAUGCUUUUCUGGAGUCUGUUUCGAAUUAGUGUGUCGUCAUACUCAGAUCUCAACUCAGGAAGACCUCCUAUAAUGUGGCGUACGCCCGAAUUGAGGAGGCUGUAUCUCAAAGUCGAUCCUCAUCGUUUGGAUGGCAGACGCAUAUAUAUAUAUAUAUACUAGACGGCGGCUUAUGCCCGUGUUGCGCACGGCCCAACACUUUAGAUUAUAGUGCAUCUAUGUGUAUGUAGUUGUCUUUGAAUAGUGAUUAUAUAUAUAUAUAUAUAUAUAUAUAUAUAUAUAUAUAGUAUAUGUUAUGUUUAAAACAUGAUUAAUAUAACAUUGUAGUUUGUGCUCCGUAUCUAAAAUUUUAUUAUAUUAAUGUUUGCUACGAAUACAAAAUCGGCAAAUUU